UGGCUCAGUGGUUAAGAGCACUGACUGCUCUUCCAGAUGACCUGGGUUCAAUUCCCAG
This 58-nucleotide transfer RNA is filed under the name Cricetulus griseus (Chinese hamster). The record is from Rfam by way of RNAcentral. Lineage: Eukaryota; Metazoa; Chordata; Mammalia; Rodentia; Cricetidae.